Molecule: transfer RNA, 72 nt
Filed under: Phrynosoma platyrhinos (Desert horned lizard)
Lineage: Eukaryota; Metazoa; Chordata; Lepidosauria; Squamata; Phrynosomatidae
Description: tRNA-OTHER
Rfam family: tRNA
About the family: Transfer RNA (tRNA) molecules are approximately 80 nucleotides in length.
Source: RNAcentral
GCCAGUGUGGUGUAGUGGUUUGAAUGCUGGACUACAACUCUGGAGGCCAGGGUUCAAUUCCCUGCUCAGCCA